CCUGAAUCCUGGAUUAGGAAGGCCCACAUGGAGACUUUCGGCAGUUGGUUGAGAAAACAUUUAAUGAAUGACAAUGAUGUUGUAGAUCAGCUGUACAUGUUGGCCAAGACACCAUCUUCGAUUAUAACGACUUUCCAAGGGUACGAGAUAAAUGGGAAUACAUUUUACACGAUCGCCCAAGAUAAAAAGAGCACCAACCAAAACAGUGGUGUCCGCUUUGAUGCAGCAACCGAGAAUGGGCAAAAGGUCACAUAUUAUGGUUACAUAGAGGAGAUAUGGGAACUUGACUAUGGACCCUCCUUUAAGGUCCCUUUGUUCCGGUGCAAAUGGUUCAAGCUAACAGGAGGUGGGGUAAAGGUGGACCAGCAAUACGGAAUGACAAUGGUGGAUUUCAACAAUCUUGGUUACCUUGACGAACCAUUCGUCCUAGCGAAAGAUGUCGCUCAGGUUUUCUAUGUGAAGGACAUGAGUAGCAAACCGAGGAAACGGAAAGAUAAGAAAACGAUCAGUACAUCAUGCGAUGAUCCAAAGCGCCACAUUGUUCUUUCAGGGAAAAGAAACAUCGUGGGAGUGGAGGACAAGACAGACAUGUCAGAAGAUUAUAAUAUGUUUGCUGAAAUUCCACCCUUCAAAGUGAACACCGACCCAAGCAUUAAGUUAAAUGAUGAGGAUGCUCCAUGGAUACGGCACAAUCGUAAGCAAGCAGGGACACAA
RNAcentral lists this ribosomal RNA (714 nucleotides) under Triticum aestivum (bread wheat). RNAcentral's name for it is "partial small subunit ribosomal RNA". The record is from RNAcentral. Lineage: Eukaryota; Viridiplantae; Streptophyta; Magnoliopsida; Poales; Poaceae.